RNAcentral lists this unclassified non-coding RNA (540 nucleotides) under Hevea brasiliensis (rubber tree). The record is from RNAcentral. Lineage: Eukaryota; Viridiplantae; Streptophyta; Magnoliopsida; Malpighiales; Euphorbiaceae.
AGAAUUUGUUUCUCACCCCUUUGUUCCCUUGGUUCUACAUCAGCCAGCCGCAGUCAAGUUCCGUGUUGGAGCUAAACAGAUGCUCUAGUUCCAAGGGGACCAGGACAUGACCGAAAGGUCUCACCUCAAUUCUGGUCCUGAUUUCAGUUCUAGUUCAGUUUAGUUUUGAUCAAAUCCAACAGUCAAAUUUUUUAAAAUUUUUUUCUUUUUUCCUUUAAGGCAAAAAUCGAUUAUGGCCCGCAAUCGCAUCAACCGGACCAACUGAUUCCAGUCAAUCUGAGUUUGACCAGUUUCUGUCCAUUUCAGUUCCAGGUUGGACAAGUUCCAAUUUCAAAGUGGACCAUGGCCACCUCUAGAUAAAAUACAAAAGGAGUCACAAGUUUAUAGAGGCAAAAGCAUUAAUUUAUCAGAAUUUUUUAUCAUAACCUUGGUUGAUAAUAUAAUAUAAACACAUUAGUUAAUUGAAGUCUUGUGACUUCACUAAAAGAACUUAGAAAGGGUAUAGGAACUACUUACCCAUUACUUCAUAAUGCUCCAUAA